GCUCCCAUGUUUGCAGUGCACAAACCAACAGCACGCACAUUCAAACACGCUGGGAAAGCAAGCGGCACACACCCCUUUUCCAUUCCAGACACUUUUUGACUUGUUCAUCUCAGGACCAAGACGUCCCAACUGCACAUAGGCGGAGGACAGGAACAGGACAGGCACCCUUGAGACCAAGCAGCAGCACCACACGCAGCAAACAUGUCGGACUCCGAGACCGCCGCCGCCCCCGCCGACGUCCCAGUCCCCGCUGGUUGUGCCAGCAUCAAGGCUGACCUGGACAAAUGCGUGGCGGAGAACGGAGCCGAGGGCUGCAAAGGCCUGAUGGAGGCCUUCGCUGCUUGUGUGAAGAGUGCAGCCGAGGGGACGUCCUGAGGAGUCGCCCUCCGACCUCGAAUGUCCGCAGCACUGAGUCCUCCACCUUCCCAGCAUUCCCUUCUGCACAGCAGCAGUGUACUGAAUGAUGAUGAUGAUCAUUGUGUGUCAAGUGUUUAAAUGGGCUGAAUUUGGAAAGUGGUGGCAGUAACUACAGUUCCCCCCCCCCCAACCCCCUGACCCCCCCCUAUAGGUUUAUCUGGUGUCCCUCAGUCUUUCCACCUUUCCCUUUCUCCCUCUGCGGCUGAAAGGCAGCACAUCGACUUGUAGACUAUUCCAGAGCUGAGCUGUAAUGUAAAUUGUCGACUCGAGAUGAAUACUUAUAAAUGGAAAUAAAAGUAUCAAAUAAUUGGUAUAAAAAACUGA
Long non-coding RNA from Pungitius pungitius (ninespine stickleback), 741 nucleotides. RefSeq lists it as uncharacterized. The record is from RefSeq and is a predicted model, not a curated record. The transcript has 4 exons. Lineage: Eukaryota; Metazoa; Chordata; Actinopteri; Perciformes; Gasterosteidae.